This 1614-nucleotide ribosomal RNA is filed under the name Triticum aestivum (bread wheat). RNAcentral describes it as "partial small subunit ribosomal RNA". Lineage: Eukaryota; Viridiplantae; Streptophyta; Magnoliopsida; Poales; Poaceae. The record is from RNAcentral.
AUGGCGGCGGGGGCGGCGCCGCAGGGGGCGCCGACGGUGGAGGAGCAGGAGGAGGCGGCGGGGGUGGGGAUCCUGCUGCAGAUAUCGAUGCUGGUGCUGGCGUUCGUGCUCAGCCACCUCCUCCGCCGCCGCAGGGUCUACUACCUCCCCGAGGCCAGCGCGUCGCUCCUCAUCGGGUUGAUCGUGGGAGGGCUUGCUAGCGUAUCUAACGCCCAGAAAAGUACAAGGAGAUGGUUCAAUUUCCGGGAGGAGCUCUUCUUUCUGUUCUUGCUGCCUCCUAUCAUAUUCCAGUCCGGCUUCAGCUUAGCACCAAAACCAUUCUUCUCAAACUUUGGUGCUAUUAUUACUUUUGCAAUCGUUGGAACCUUAAUUGCCUCCAUUGUCACCGGUGUUUUAGUCUACCUUGCUGGGUUAAUACAUCUUGUCUAUAGGAUGCCUCUGGUUGAGUGUAUGAUGUUUGGUGCCCUUGUGUCAGCAACUGAUCCUGUAACUGUGCUGUCGAUAUUUCAGGAACUUGGCACGGAUGUGAACCUCUAUGCGCUGGUUUUCGGUGAAUCUGUGCUAAAUGAUGCUAUGGCAAUCUCCUUGUACAGGACUAUGGCAUCUCUGAGGACGAAUGCUUCUAGCCAAAACAUUUUCAUAGUUAUCUUAAGGUUUCUUGAGAACUUCUUUGGGUCAAUGUCAACAGGUGUUGGAGCUGGAUUUAUUUCUGCUCUCCUCUUCAAGUAUUCAACACUCGGUGUUGAGAACCUUUAUAACCUCGAGAGCUGCUUGUUUGUGCUUUUCCCAUACUUCUCGUACAUGCUAGCUGAAGGCUUUGGUCUGUCUGGCAUAGUCUCAAUACUCUUUACUGGAGUCGUGAUGAAGAGAUACACAUUCUCAAACUUGUCAGAGGACUCCCAGCGUUUCACUGCUGCACUUUUCCAUCUGCUUUCGUCAUUAGCAGAAACUUUUGUAUUCAUAUAUAUGGGAUUUGAUAUUGCGAUGGAGCGUCAAAGCUGGUCACACAUUGGGUUCAUAUUUUUCUCAGUUAUCUUCAUAUUAGUUGCAAGGGCUGCAAAUGUUUUCUCGUGUGCUUUCUUGGUAAAUAUGGUACGGCCACCUCAGCGGCAAAUAUCCAGGCAAUAUCAACAGGCACUUUGGUAUAGUGGUCUUAGAGGGGCUAUGGCUUUUGCCCUUGCUCUUCAAUCUGUUCAUGAUCUUCCUGACGGCCAUGGACAGACAAUUCUGAGUGCUACCAUAUCUAUUGUUGUUCUAACAGUACUUCUGAUUGGAGGCUCAACAAGCACAAUGCUUGAAGCUCUGCAUGUUGUGGGAGAUGGUAAUGAUGGUCGUCGCCCUUCUUCACUUGAGGACCAGGAGAACUAUGAGGGGAACAAUAAUGCGGGCAACAUAGAAUUGGGCAAUGAAGAGCGGACUUCUACCACAAGCAAUUUCAAACUGAAACUCCAAGAAAUCCAGAAAAACACGACCUCCUUGGCCGCAUUGGACAGAAACUACCUCACUCCAUUUUUCACAUCUCAAAACGGCGAUAGCGAUGACGACGAACAUGCUCCAUUUGAACGGUGUCGCGCAAUCGCUUCCGUGUCACCAUUAGGCCAAGGCAGUAUCUGA